GAUGAACGCUGGCGGCGUGCCUAAUACAUGCAAGUCGAGCGAACGGACGAGAAGCUUGCUUCUCUGAUGUUAGCGGCGGACGGGUGAGUAACACGUGGAUAACCUACCUAUAAGACUGGGAUAACUUCGGGAAACCGUAGCUAAUACCGGAUAAUAUUUUGAACCGCAUGGUUCAAAAGUGAAAGACGGUCUUGCUGUCACUUAUAGAUGGAUCCGCGCUGCAUUAGCUAGUUGGUAAGGUAACGGCUUACCAAGGCAACGAUGCAUAGCCGACCUGAGAGGGUGAUCGGCCACACUGGAACUGAGACACGGUCCAGACUCCUACGGGAGGCAGCAGUAGGGAAUCUUCCGCAAUGGGCGAAAGCCUGACGGAGCAACGCCGCGUGAGCGAUGAAGGUCUUCGGAUCGUAAAACUCUGUUAUUAGGGAAGAACAUAUGUGUAAGUAACUGUGCACAUCUUGACGGUACCUAAUCAGAAAGCCACGGCUAACUACGUGCCAGCAGCCGCGGUAAUACGUAGGUGGCAAGCGUUAUCCGGAAUUAUUGGGCGUAAAGCGCGCGUAGGCGGUUUUUUAAGUCUGAUGUGAAAGCCCACGGCUCAACCGUGGAGGGUCAUUGGAAACUGGAAAACUUGAGUGCAGAAGAGGAAAGUGGAAUUCCAUGUGUAGCGGUGAAAUGCGCAGAGAUAUGGAGGAACACCAGUGGCGAAGGCGACUUUCUGGUCUGUAACUGACGCUGAUGUGCGAAAGCGUGGGGAUCAAACAGGAUUAGAUACCCUGGUAGUCCACGCCGUAAACGAUGAGUGCUAAGUGUUAGGGGGUUUCCGCCCCUUAGUGCUGCAGCUAACGCAUUAAGCACUCCGCCUGGGGAGUACGACCGCAAGGUUGAAACUCAAAGGAAUUGACGGGGACCCGCACAAGCGGUGGAGCAUGUGGUUUAAUUCGAAGCAACGCGAAGAACCUUACCAAAUCUUGACAUCCUUUGACAACUCUAGAGAUAGAGCCUUCCCCUUCGGGGGACAAAGUGACAGGUGGUGCAUGGUUGUCGUCAGCUCGUGUCGUGAGAUGUUGGGUUAAGUCCCGCAACGAGCGCAACCCUUAAGCUUAGUUGCCAUCAUUAAGUUGGGCACUCUAAGUUGACUGCCGGUGACAAACCGGAGGAAGGUGGGGAUGACGUCAAAUCAUCAUGCCCCUUAUGAUUUGGGCUACACACGUGCUACAAUGGACAAUACAAAGGGCAGCGAAACCGCGAGGUCAAGCAAAUCCCAUAAAGUUGUUCUCAGUUCGGAUUGUAGUCUGCAACUCGACUACAUGAAGCUGGAAUCGCUAGUAAUCGUAGAUCAGCAUGCUACGGUGAAUACGUUCCCGGGUCU
RNAcentral lists this ribosomal RNA (1372 nucleotides) under uncultured bacterium. RNAcentral describes it as "bacterial SSU rRNA". It matches the Rfam family "Bacterial small subunit ribosomal RNA", at positions 28 to 1381 of the family's 1533-position model. The record is from RNAcentral.